GUCUAUGGCCAUACCACCCUGAAAAUGCCUGAUCUUGUCUGAUCUUUGAAGCUAAGUAGGGUUGGACCUGGUAAGUACUUGGAUGGGAGAAGGAGAGAAAGACAGAGAGACACCUGCA
RNAcentral lists this ribosomal RNA (118 nucleotides) under Erinaceus europaeus (western European hedgehog). Lineage: Eukaryota; Metazoa; Chordata; Mammalia; Eulipotyphla; Erinaceidae. The record is from RNAcentral.